Papilio polytes (common Mormon) is the source of this 280-nucleotide long non-coding RNA. RefSeq lists it as uncharacterized. NCBI's taxonomy places the organism in Eukaryota, Metazoa, Arthropoda, Insecta, Lepidoptera, Papilionidae. The transcript has 2 exons. The record is from RefSeq and is a predicted model, not a curated record.
GUGGCUAAAUUAUAUCCCGUUGUAUCAAAUCAGAUAUACGUAACAUAAUGAAAAUAGUUUUUAUUAUAGUAUUUGCUGUUAUAAUAUUAUUGAUUCCCGCCUUCAUUUACUUGAUAUCGUCAGUAGAUAAGCUGACGCCCUUACUAGGAUUGAUUGCGAAAGAUAACUCUGAUUUAAAAAUGUCUUAUAUCAUGAGGACGAGUAACAAAUCAUCAUUACGCCAGAACCAAGAUUAUUGGGAUGUACAAUUCUUCGUGCCGAAAUAAAAUAUUACCGACAA